UAGCGUAUAUUAAUGUUGUUGCAGUUAAAAAGCUCGUAGUUGGAUCUGAGGAUUCGAAUUGGUGGUGCAGUCAACGCUGUUACUGCUGAUUCGGCCUACCUAGUCGGUGCUCGCUCUUGGUGUUCUUAAUUGAAUGCCCUGAGUGCCCGACAUGUUUACUUUGAAAAAAUUAGAGUGCUCAAAGCAGGCCAUUAGCCGGAAUACUUCAGCAUGGAAUAAUGGAAUAGGACUUCGGUUCUAUUUUGUUGGUUUUCGGAACCCGAGGUAAUGAUUAAGAGAGACAGACGGGGGCAUUCGUACUGCGGUGUU
Molecule: ribosomal RNA, 309 nt
Filed under: Macrostomum environmental sample
Lineage: Eukaryota; Metazoa; Platyhelminthes; Macrostomidae
Description: SSU rRNA
Rfam family: Eukaryotic small subunit ribosomal RNA
Source: RNAcentral